RNAcentral lists this long non-coding RNA (1075 nucleotides) under Sus scrofa (pig). RNAcentral describes it as "lncRNA (ENSSSCG00065008418.1)". The record is from RNAcentral. Lineage: Eukaryota; Metazoa; Chordata; Mammalia; Artiodactyla; Suidae.
CUUCCAUAUGCCAAUGGUGCAGCCCUGAAAAGACCCCCCCAAAAAAGGUAAAAAAAAAUGUUGCUCCAGAUCUAUUAAAUUUAUUUCUUAAGCCAUUGAAAGGCCAUGAAGGACCCAGAGUUUGAAAAACACUCUGCUGGGUGUUCUAACAUUUGCUUGUGGUACUUAUUUACACUUUUUUUUUUUUACUAGGUCAAAACUGGAGCAAAUUCCUUGCUGGUCAGCCUUGGCCCUGAUCGGCUUGGGCGCCUCUGCCCAGUUCCUUCCAGUUUUCCUGACCACCUCCCAGGCGUGCACAAGUCUGGUCUAGAUACGUCAGGAAAUGAGGCUCAUGUGGUGUUGUCUCCACAUUCCUUACCUUCUACAGAGGGGAGGCAGAGUCAACCAGGAUGUAAUCCUUGAACGCCAUCAUGGGGAUUCAGAAGCCUGGCGAAGGUUAAGAACCGGUGGGUAUAACGAAGUUGAACUUCAGAAGCAUAAUGCUAAGUGAAAGAAGCGGACACAAGAGACCAGUAACGGUAUGAUUCUGUUUCUAUGAUGCUCUAGCAGUGGCAGAAUUGUAGAGACAGAAAUAAGAUCAGUCACAGGCAGGGCCAGAGAACUGGGGAAGGGCAUUACUGCAAAGGGGCAGAGAGGAAUGUUUUGGGGUGAAAAAUGUUUGAUAGACUGAUUUGUUAAUACUCACCUGCAUGCUUCAAAAGGUAAAAUUAACUCUAUGUAAAUUAUACCUCAAUUUAAAAAAGAACUGGUAGCCUAGGUCCUCAAUAGUCACUGUUUUGAUGGUGAUGAUGAAGUAACAGGAGGAAGGCAGCAGGAUUUUGCAACAAUUUCCAAAUGUUGUAUUUUUUGGAUGAGGACCAGCUUGCAACUCCUGAAGCAUUACCAGAUAGAUAGCUGUGAAUCCAUCCUUUGAAAUGUGCACAUUAAAAUGAAUGCAUUUGACAUGCUUUUAGUUCCAGAUGUUCAGGUAAGCAUGCUGAGUGGGGUUUGCUGACUCUUUCUUUACUAAUGAAGAGUAAAUAACAGAUGAUUGGAAAGAGUGUCAGUCUGGGAAUAAACACGGGGAGUGUUUUCA